UCGAGAGGGUUCGGCCCUCGGCUGACUGCUCAGUAACACGUGGAUAACUUGCCCUCAGGUAGGGGAUAAUCUCGGGAAACUGAGGAUAAUACCCUAUAGACAUCCUUUGCUGGAAUGCUUGGAUGUUCAAAGGCAACGCCUGAGGAUAGGUCUGCGGCCUAUCAGGUUGUAGUGGGUGUAACGGACCCACUAGCCGACGACGGGUACGGGCCCUGAAAGGGGUAGCCCGGAGAUGGACUCUGAGACACGAGUCCAGGCCCUACGGGGCGCAGCAGGCGCGAAAACUUCGCAAUGCGGGAAACCGUGACGAGGGAAUCCCGAGUGCUCAUACAAUGUAUGGGCUUUUCUUAUGUGUAAAUAGCAUGAGGAAUAAGGGCUGGGUAAGACCGGUGCCAGCCGCCGCGGUAAUACCGGCAGCUCUAGUGGUAGCCACUUUUAUUGGGCCUAAAGCGUCCGUAGCCGGUCAGGUAAAUCCUUGGGUAAAUCGUACAGCUUAACUGUACGACUUCCGGGGAGACUGCCUGACUUGGGACCGGGAGAGGUUGGAGGUACUCCUGGGGUAGGGGUGAAAUCCUGUAAUCCUAGGUGGACCACCGGUGGCGAAGGCGUCCAACCAGAACGGCUCCGACGGUGAGGGACGAAGGCUAGGGGCGCAAACCGGAUUAGAUACCCGGGUAGUCCUAGCUGUAAACGCUGCAGACUUGGUGUUGGAGAUCCUACGAGGGUGUCCAGUGCCGGAGAGAAGUUGUUAAGUUUGCCGCCUGGGAAGUAUGGCCGCAAGGCUGAAACUUAAAGGAAUUGGCGGGGGAGCACCGCAACGGGAGGAGCGUGCGGUUUAAUUGGAUUCAACGCCG
RNAcentral lists this ribosomal RNA (854 nucleotides) under uncultured archaeon. RNAcentral describes it as "bacterial SSU rRNA". It matches the Rfam family "Archaeal small subunit ribosomal RNA", at positions 58 to 920 of the family's 1478-position model. The record is from RNAcentral.